Molecule: long non-coding RNA, 760 nt
Filed under: Rattus norvegicus (Norway rat)
Lineage: Eukaryota; Metazoa; Chordata; Mammalia; Rodentia; Muridae
Description: long non-coding RNA NONRATT004928
Source: RNAcentral
CCAGCUCCGUAGGAGACCCUGCAAAGUCAUAGUCUAGUCAAAGUGGGAACUUGGCCCCCUGGAGGCAAGCACAGGAUGUUGGGGUACCCAAAGGAAAAGGUGAAUUCUUCCAUACUACUGGGGCUUAGCUUUUGAGUUCAUGAUGGAAAAUGGAGGGGUCGGCGAGAGGCUUUAGGCAGAGUGUAAGCGACUGGUUUCACAGGGAGACAACAUGGCAAAGGCACAGCGGUAGAAAGGGUGACCCUGAACACACAGCAUCUCCGAGUGGCUCAGUGAGUCCCACACGGGGAAACCGGUAACUUUGACAAGAUGACUUGAAGUCUGAGUCUCAAAGGCCUUGAGAGGCACGCUAAGUAAAUAGAUGGCAUUUCAGCUCACGGCUGCUAGGGGACACUGACUGCCCCCACGCAAGAGGCGACAGGAUCCAAGGUGGCACGAAGGGAGCAGGCUGGGGCAAGGGACACACAGUGUUCCAAUGGGAGACGGGAGUGGACAGCAGGUGGGAAGGACCUGGGGACCACUGGGACCUGCCAAUUAUGGAGUCUGAUUAGCUGGGAAGACACAAGGCUGGCGCCUCUGCUGGGGGGAAGGGGAGCUGCCUGCUGUGGCCAUGUCUGCUUCCCCUGAGAGCAGCCUCUCCCUUUCCUCUAGGAAAAAGGGACAGUCCUGUCCCUACUGGCACCUGCUGUCCUUCUUCCCCCACCCCCUCCUUCCAGCCUCUUACACCUACAAGGAGACUGCAGCCCAAGGCAAAAGCCUG